This 253-nucleotide ribosomal RNA is filed under the name uncultured bacterium. RNAcentral describes it as "partial 16S ribosomal RNA". It matches the Rfam family "Bacterial small subunit ribosomal RNA", at positions 524 to 776 of the family's 1533-position model. The record is from RNAcentral.
UACGGAGGGGGCGAGCGUUAUUCGGAAUUAUUGGGCGUAAAGGGCGCGUAGGCGGCUUCAUAAGUCAAAGGUGAAAUCCCUCGGCUCAACUGAGGAACUGCCUUUGAAACUGUCGGGCUUGAGGCCGGGAGGGGGUAGCGGAAUUCCCAGUGUAGCGGUGAAAUGCGUAGAUAUUGGGAGGAACACCAGUGGCGAAGGCGGCUACCUGGACCGGUUCUGACGCUGAUGCGCGAAAGCGUGGGUAGCAAACAGG